RNAcentral lists this ribosomal RNA (408 nucleotides) under uncultured bacterium. RNAcentral describes it as "partial 16S ribosomal RNA". It matches the Rfam family "Bacterial small subunit ribosomal RNA", at positions 28 to 526 of the family's 1533-position model. The record is from RNAcentral.
GACGAACCCUGGCGGCCUGCUCAACACAAGCAAGUCGAACGGAGUGGUGAACGGGUGAGUAAUACGGGGGUGAUCCGCCUCGCACUUCGGGAUAAGCCUGGGAAACUCGGUCUAAUACCGGAUAGUGCAAGAUGAGCGCGCGGCCUAUCAGCUUGUUGGUGGGGUGAUGGCCUACCAAGGCGUCGACGGGUAGACGGCCUGGGAGGGUGUACGGCCACAUUGGGACUAAGAUACGGAGCAGAGUCGUACGGGAGGCAGUGGUGGGGAGUAUUGCGCAAUCGGCGGAAGCUUGAUGAAGCGACGCCGCGUGGGGAAUGAAGGCCUAGGGGUUGGAAACGGAUUAAGACGGAGACGCGGUACCUGUAUAAGAAGCACCGGCUAACUACGUGCCAGCAGCCGCGGUAAUUC